UUUAUUUAGAGAGUUUGAUCCUGGCUCAGGAUGAACGCUGGCGGCGUGCUUAACACAUGCAAGU
Molecule: ribosomal RNA, 64 nt
Filed under: Blautia tarda
Lineage: Bacteria; Bacillati; Bacillota; Clostridia; Lachnospirales; Lachnospiraceae
Description: partial 16S ribosomal RNA
Rfam family: Bacterial small subunit ribosomal RNA
Source: RNAcentral